This is a small nucleolar RNA of Tachyglossus aculeatus (Australian echidna), 138 nucleotides long. NCBI's taxonomy places the organism in Eukaryota, Metazoa, Chordata, Mammalia, Monotremata, Tachyglossidae. The record is from RefSeq and is a predicted model, not a curated record.
UCCCUCUCAGGGUGGAACCUGGAGAGUGUCCAGCACUCUGUCAGUCUUGGCUACAGGAGAGAGAGUCAAGCAGAGGCCUACCCAUUCCAAUCCUAGCUUGGGAAGUGGCAAGUGAGUGGAAGGCAAUCUGCUACAAGU